RNAcentral lists this ribosomal RNA (593 nucleotides) under uncultured bacterium. RNAcentral's name for it is "bacterial SSU rRNA". It matches the Rfam family "Bacterial small subunit ribosomal RNA", at positions 50 to 643 of the family's 1533-position model. The record is from RNAcentral.
UACACAUGCAAGUCGAGUGCGCGUGCCGUAGCAAUACGGUAUGGCGCACGGCGCACGGGUGCGUAACACGUGGGCAAUCUGCCCUUCGAUGGGGAAUAACUCCGGGAAACCGAAGCUAAUUCCGCAUAAAAUUCCUUGGACUUCGGUUCGAGGACUCAAAGCCGUAAGGCGUCGAAGGAGGAGCCCGCGCCCGAUUAGCUAGUUGGUGAGGUAACGGCUCACCAAGGCAAUGAUCGGUAGCUGGUCUGAGAGGAUGGCCAGCCACACUGGAACUGAGACACGGUCCAGACUCCUACGGGAGGCAGCAGUGGGGAAUCUUGCGCAAUGGGCGAAAGCCUGACGCAGCGACGCCGCGUGGGGGAUGAAGCAUUUCGGUGUGUAAACCCCUUUCGACUGGGACGAAUACCUCGCAAGAGGGGUGACGGUACCAGUAGAAGAAGCCCCGGCUAACUACGUGCCAGCAGCCGCGGUAAGACGUAGGGGGCCAGCGUUGUUCGGAAUUACUGGGUGUAAAGGGUUCGUAGGCGGUGUGGCAAGUCGGGAGUGAAAUCUAUGGGCUUAACCCAUAGGCUGCUUCCGAAACUGCUGUGCUU